This 97-nucleotide non-coding RNA is filed under the name Burkholderia sp. WP9. Lineage: Bacteria; Pseudomonadati; Pseudomonadota; Betaproteobacteria; Burkholderiales; Burkholderiaceae. The record is from RNAcentral.
UUCGAUGGGCGGGCCGUGGUGGGGGAGCCUCGCGGCUCGCCGGUUUCUGGUACUACGCACCGGUCUGCUAAACCCAUCAAUGUGCCCGCUCACCACC